GUACUUGCUUCGGCAGCACAUAUACUAAAAUUGGGAUGAUACAGAGAAGAUUAGCGUGCUCCCUGUGCAAGGAUGACAUGCAAAUUCGUGAAGCGCUCCAUAUUUUU
Small nuclear RNA from Heterocephalus glaber (naked mole-rat), 107 nucleotides. The record is from Ensembl. Lineage: Eukaryota; Metazoa; Chordata; Mammalia; Rodentia; Bathyergidae.